Molecule: long non-coding RNA, 207 nt
Filed under: Lathyrus oleraceus (garden pea)
Lineage: Eukaryota; Viridiplantae; Streptophyta; Magnoliopsida; Fabales; Fabaceae
Description: Pisum sativum (pea) long non-coding RNA (PSAT_LNC002568)
Source: RNAcentral
AAGGAAGUCGGUGAUGCAGGGGGAAGGUAUUAGCAACCCUCAUAUCUGUUGUACUCAGCGGGAACCAUUUUGAUUAUUAUUUGCUGGAAUGAGUAUUACUAUCUAAAGAUUAAUUGAAAAUGAUAUGAAAAAGAGGAUAAAAAGAAUUGAAUAAUUAAUAUGCUUGGUGAGGAUUAGGGCCCUCAUGCAUACGUAUCCUUAUAGUAC